UUCUACACGUAGGACACCGAGAACCGUAUGGAGAGUUGGGGGUCGCCCCGUCGAGGGCGUUAAACGAUGGGAGCACCCUGCGCUUGAGUGGGGUUGAUUCUCACGGCCCCCACGUUUAUUUUUCCAUCUUUUUCAACACCUUUACUGCAGAGAGCAUGUCCGCUCGCAACGGACACAAAUCUAAAAGUUCAUAACUUUUAACGGUGGAUCUCUUGGCUCGUGCAUCGAUGAAGAACGCAGCCAGGUGCGAUAAGUAGUGUGAAUUGCAGAAUUCAGUGAAUCAUCGAAUCUUUGAACGCAAAUGGCGCUCUUGGGUUUUCCCAGGAGCACGUCUGUCUGAGUGUCGGUUUCCAAAACUAACGCACGCCAGCGUGCGGCCUUGAGGAGUCGCGGCCUUCUGCCAUAGCGGCAGUGGUGCCUCGUCCCUUGAAAUGGAGCACGACCGAUGGGCGCGUCCAGCGUCGCCACUUCGGGAAGGCCAAAAGCAUCUUUGCCCUUUCCCGAGGCGUCGUCUGGCACGCCGGUGCGGUUGGAGUUCGGCAGGGAAGCUAAGCUGCCCAUCCAUUCUUGACCUCAGAUCAGGCGAGAUUACCCGCUGAAUUUAAGCAUAUUAAUAAGCGGAGGAAAAGAAACU
RNAcentral lists this ribosomal RNA (634 nucleotides) under Bunodactis reynaudi. Its description in RNAcentral is "eukaryotic LSU rRNA". The stretch from base 193 to 346 matches the Rfam family "5.8S ribosomal RNA". The record is from RNAcentral. Lineage: Eukaryota; Metazoa; Cnidaria; Anthozoa; Actiniaria; Actiniidae.